Molecule: long non-coding RNA, 279 nt
Organism: Carassius carassius (crucian carp)
Lineage: Eukaryota; Metazoa; Chordata; Actinopteri; Cypriniformes; Cyprinidae
Exons: 2
Source: RefSeq, a predicted model, not a curated record
CUUGUAUCAGCUUCAUCUUCAGAGAGAAUGAGCCGUGAAAUUCCCUGACUAAAUGCAGUUUUGAUCUUCGUUAUGUUCUUAUGAGUGUUUAAAGUUGUGUGCGUCCAGAGAGAAAACCACACACUCAUAUGCUGACACUCCUCAGGACAUAAAGCAAAGACGAUAUCACUUAAUAUUCAUGCUCAUCUUUGAUCUGUGCACAGAGAGUACUGUUUAAUACAGCUAAUCAAGAUCUGGCUCCCCCUCUUCAUAUGCUUGUAUAAAUAAAUCUGUUAAACU